GAUGAACGCUGGCGGCGUGCCUAAUACAUGCAAGUCGAGCGAACGGACGAGAAGCUUGCUUCUCUGAUGUUAGCGGCGGACGGGUGAGUAACACGUGGAUAACCUACCUAUAAGACUGGGAUAACUUCGGGAAACCGUAGCUAAUACCGGAUAAUAUUUUGAACCGCAUGUUUCAAAAGUGAAAUACGGUCUUGCUGUCACUUAUAGCUGGAUCCGCGCUGCAUUAGCUAGUUGGUAAGGUAACGGCUUACCAAGGCAACGAUGCAUAGCCGAUCUGAGAGGGUGAUCGGCCACACUGGAACUGAGACACGGUCCAGACUCCUACGGGAGGCAGCAGUAGGGAAUCUUCCGCAAUGGGCGAAAGCCUGACGGAGCAACGCCGCGUGAGUGAUGAAGGUCUUCGGAUCGUAAAACUCUGUUAUUAGGGAAGAACAUAUGUGUAAGUAACUGUGCACAUCUUGACGGUACAUAAUCAGAAAGCCACGGCUAACUACGUG
Molecule: ribosomal RNA, 497 nt
Filed under: uncultured bacterium
Lineage: Bacteria
Description: partial 16S ribosomal RNA
Rfam family: Bacterial small subunit ribosomal RNA
Source: RNAcentral